This 378-nucleotide unclassified non-coding RNA is filed under the name uncultured bacterium. RNAcentral's name for it is "contains 16S-23S intergenic spacer region". The record is from RNAcentral.
UCCGGUUUGGCACCGGCAGUCUCCGAUGAGUCCCCGGCAUUACCCGCUGGCAACAUUGGACAGGGGUUGCGCUCGUUGCGCCACUUAAGGCAACACCUCACGGCACGAGCUGACGACAGCCAUGCAGCACCUGUGCAGAGACCCUUGCGGGAGAUCCAAUUUCUUGGACUGUCCUCUGCAUGUCAAGCCUAGGUAAGGUUCUUCGCGUUGCAUCGAAUUAAACCACAUGCUCCACUGCUUGUGCGGGUCCCCGUCAAUUCUUUUGAGUUUCAGCCUUGCGACUGUACUCCCCAGGCGGUAUACUUAACGCGUUAGCUACGGCACAGUCGGGGUUGAGUCCGACUACACCAAGUAUACAUGGUUUACGGCAAGGACUAC